RNAcentral lists this ribosomal RNA (434 nucleotides) under uncultured bacterium. RNAcentral describes it as "bacterial SSU rRNA". It matches the Rfam family "Bacterial small subunit ribosomal RNA", at positions 335 to 788 of the family's 1533-position model. The record is from RNAcentral.
ACUCCUACGGGAGGCAGCAGUGGGGAAUAUUGGACAAUGGGCGAAAGCCUGAUCCAGCAAUGCCGCGUGAGUGAUGAAGGCCCUAGGGUUGUAAAGCUCUUUUACCCGGGAAGAUAAUGACUGUACCGGGAGAAUAAGCCCGCUAGCUACCCGUGCCAGCAGCCGCGGUAAUACGGAGGGCGUAGCGUUGUUCGGAAUUACUGGGCGUAAAGCGCACGUAGGCGGCUUUGUAAGUCAGAGGUGAAAGCCUGGAGCUCAACUCCAGAACUGCCUUUGAGACUGCAUCGCUUGAAUCCAGGAGAGGUCAGUGGAAUUCCGAGUGUAGAGGUGAAAUUCGUAGAUAUUCGGAAGAACACCAGUGGCGAAGGCGGCUGACUGGACUGGUAUUGACGCUGAGGUGCGAAAGCGUGGGAGCAAACAGGAUUAGAUACCCU